This 502-nucleotide long non-coding RNA is filed under the name Rattus norvegicus (Norway rat). Its description in RNAcentral is "long non-coding RNA NONRATT032120". Lineage: Eukaryota; Metazoa; Chordata; Mammalia; Rodentia; Muridae. The record is from RNAcentral.
CCUUUCCGUUGGUGUGUCAACAGAAUCGUCAAGUUCAGACAUUCCAGAGGUUUUUAUUUGUUCAUUAGAAUGUUAGGUCUGCAACCCUGGUACACAGGGCAUGGCUCUUUGGGAGCUAAAGAGACCCCAAGAGAAAUGGUCGUCUAUUGGUUCAGCACCAUUCUAGGUUCCAUAGUCACUGAAGUAUCAUUGGUUAGUGCACCAGCCUGGACAGACAAUUUUUUUUCUAGGGAUUCUCAUGGGCCGUUGUCAGACGACUCACUGAGGGUUUUACCGGAUGUGAAAGGUACCAUCCAAAGACUGGGAAAAGACACGUGGUGGUCAUCUUCUCAUCUCCAGAGAUCUAUUCUUACUUGGUUGAAAAGCGCAGAACAUCGUCUACAGAAUAAGAGAAUGGUAGUGCCUUGGAAUCUCUAUGACAACUUUCAGUUCCUGUCAUUUUUAAUUUUGAAAGUUCCAGUCGAGCUGUCGUAAAGGCAGCGAUGCUUCAUAACCCCGUGUG